GACGAACGCUGGCGGCGUGCUUAACACAUGCAAGUCGAACGGUGAAGCUCCAGCUUGCUGGAGUGGAUCAGUGGCGAACGGGUGAGUAACACGUGAGCAACCUGCCCCUGACUCUGGAAUAAGCGCUGGAAACGGCGUCUAAUACUGGAUACGAGAAGGGUCCGCAUGGGCACUUUCUGGAAAGUUUUUCGGUUGGGGAUGGGCUCGCGGCCUAUCAGCUUGUUGGUGAGGUAAUGGCUCACCAAGGCGACGACGGGUAGCCGGCCUGAGAGGGCGACCGGCCACACUGGGACUGAGACACGGCCCAGACUCCUACGGGAGGCAGCAGUGGGGAAUAUUGCUCAAUGGGCGAAAGCCUGAUGCAGCGACGCCGCGUGAGGGAUGACGGCCUUCGGGUUGUAAACCUCUUUCAGCAGGGAAGAAGCGAAAGUGACGGUACCUGCAGAAGAAGCACCGGCUAACUACGUG
RNAcentral lists this ribosomal RNA (468 nucleotides) under uncultured bacterium. RNAcentral describes it as "partial 16S ribosomal RNA". It matches the Rfam family "Bacterial small subunit ribosomal RNA", at positions 28 to 507 of the family's 1533-position model. The record is from RNAcentral.